CAGAGGAUAGUUUAUAAAAAAUUUUAAUUUUGGAGAUUAAAGAUAGAAUAAAUUUUCUUUCUCUGA
RNAcentral lists this transfer RNA (66 nucleotides) under Coleoptera sp. 2 KM-2017. RNAcentral describes it as "tRNA-Pro". The record is from RNAcentral. Lineage: Eukaryota; Metazoa; Arthropoda; Insecta; Coleoptera.